GUGCUCGCUUCAGCAGCACAUAUCCUAAAAUUGGAACAACGCAGAGAUUAGCAUGGCUCCCAUGCAAGGAUGACACGCAAAUCUGUGAAGCUGUCCAUAUUUUU
This 104-nucleotide small nuclear RNA is filed under the name Ursus thibetanus thibetanus. Lineage: Eukaryota; Metazoa; Chordata; Mammalia; Carnivora; Ursidae. The record is from RNAcentral.